This 490-nucleotide ribosomal RNA is filed under the name uncultured bacterium. Its description in RNAcentral is "partial 16S ribosomal RNA". It matches the Rfam family "Bacterial small subunit ribosomal RNA", at positions 29 to 507 of the family's 1533-position model. The record is from RNAcentral.
AGUGAACGCUGGCGGUAGGCCUAACACAUGCAAGUCGAACGGCAGCACAGGAGAGCUUGCUCUCUGGGUGGCGAGUGGCGGACGGGUGAGGAAUACAUCGGAAUCUGCCCAGUCGUGGGGGAUAACGUAGGGAAACUUACGCUAAUACCGCAUACGACCUUCGGGUGAAAGAGGGGGAUCGCAAGACCUCUCGCGAUUGGAUGAGCCGAUGUCGGAUUAGCUAGUUGGCGGGGUAAUGGCCCACCAAGGCGACGAUCCGUAGCUGGUCUGAGAGGAUGAUCAGCCACACUGGAACUGAGACACGGUCCAGACUCCUACGGGAGGCAGCAGUGGGGAAUAUUGGACAAUGGGCGCAAGCCUGAUCCAGCCAUACCGCGUGGGCGAAGAAGGCCUUCGGGUUGUAAAGCCCUUUUGUUGGGAAAGAAAUCUUUCAGGCUAAUACCCUGGGAGGAUGACGGUACCCAAAGAAUAAGCACCGGCUAACUUCGUG